Molecule: transfer-messenger RNA, 384 nt
Filed under: Anaerolineales
Lineage: Bacteria; Bacillati; Chloroflexota; Anaerolineae
Also listed under: 1 other name
Description: JAMCZK01 sp019637755 Standard tmRNA
Rfam family: transfer-messenger RNA
About the family: Bacterial tmRNA, also known as 10Sa RNA or SsrA, is named for its dual tRNA and mRNA-like properties. Its role is to liberate the mRNA from a stalled ribosome.
Source: RNAcentral
GGGGAUGACUGGCUUCGACGGUUGAGGCUGAGUCUGAACUGCGAGCCGAGCGGCGCCGACCUCGAAAAAUCAGCGCAAACCUUAAGUGCCAACCGCACUAACUACGCAGCUCUCCCGCUCGCCGCGUAAUACCGGCUAGCCAACGAACUGCCCAACCCUUCGGGGUUGCGUCUGCCCCGCCCUCUCCUCGGCUGGGCGGGAGCAGGCGAGACAAUGCCGAGGUGCUGUGCCAGCCGCCGUGACUGGCGCCUAAGCCAAAGCGGAUGGCAGCGAGGACCCCCUUGUCGUUUGUGGGCCUGGCUGCGACAACACAACCGACUACGCUCGUAGACGUUCAGCACUCUAAUCAGUCGGACGCGGGUUCGAUUCCCGCCAUCUCCACUC